RNAcentral lists this ribosomal RNA (231 nucleotides) under uncultured bacterium. Its description in RNAcentral is "partial 16S ribosomal RNA". It matches the Rfam family "Bacterial small subunit ribosomal RNA", at positions 103 to 334 of the family's 1533-position model. The record is from RNAcentral.
CGGGUGAGUAACGCGUGGAUAACCUGCCUCACACUGGGGGAUAACAGUUAGAAAUGACUGCUAAUACCGCAUAAGCGCACAGUACCGCAUGGUACAGUGUGAAAAACUCCGGUGGUGUGAGAUGGAUCCGCGUCUGAUUAGCCAGUUGGCGGGGUAACGGCCCACCAAAGCGACGAUCAGUAGCCGACCUGAGAGGGUGGCCGGCCACAUUGGGACUGAGACACGGCCCAA